GUUAGCAUGGUAUAGGGAUUUGAACAUUGGACUAGGAUUCUGAAGACCAGGGUUCAAAUCCCAUGUAAACC
This is a non-coding RNA of Phrynosoma platyrhinos (Desert horned lizard), 71 nucleotides long. Lineage: Eukaryota; Metazoa; Chordata; Lepidosauria; Squamata; Phrynosomatidae. The record is from the annotation of a GenBank genome assembly.